RNAcentral lists this long non-coding RNA (494 nucleotides) under Pan paniscus (pygmy chimpanzee). RNAcentral's name for it is "lncRNA (ENSPPAG00000044963.1)". Lineage: Eukaryota; Metazoa; Chordata; Mammalia; Primates; Hominidae. The record is from RNAcentral.
AAGGAACAUCUGAAGGAACACCUGACAAGGCUGUACCCUUGGCGGAAAGAACACCUGACAUGGCUGAAAGCUUGGUGGAAAAACCACCUGAUGAGGCUGCACCCUUGGUGGAGGGAACAGCUGACAAAAUUCAAUGUUUGGGGAAAGCAACAUCUGGAAAGUUUGAACAGUCAGCAGAAGAAACACCUAAGAAAAUUAUGAGGACUGCAAAAGAAACAUCUGAGAAAUUUGCAUGGCCAGCAAAAGAAAGACCUAGGAAGAUCACAUGGGAGGAAAAAGAAACAUCUGUAAAGACUGAAUGCGUGGCAGGAGUAACACCUAAUAAAACUGAAGUUUUGGAAAAAGGAACAUCUAAGAUGCUCACAUGUCCUACAAAAGAAACAUCUACAAAAGCAAGUACAAAUGUGGAUGUGAGUUCUGUAGAGUCUAUAUUCAGGUUCAGCUUUUCAACAUUUCAAAUAUUUCAGGGCACUCUCUGCAGUGUUUUAGAGUGA